This is a long non-coding RNA of Erigeron canadensis, 579 nucleotides long. RefSeq lists it as uncharacterized. The transcript is spliced from 2 exons. The record is from RefSeq and is a predicted model, not a curated record. NCBI's taxonomy places the organism in Eukaryota, Viridiplantae, Streptophyta, Magnoliopsida, Asterales, Asteraceae.
CUUGCAAUAGAGAGGUUUGGGUCAGAGCGUGAUACUCAUCCAAAACGUAUCGAUAGAGACUUAUGGGAGCAGGCUAGUGGAGGGAUGAAGAAAGGGACAUUGUUUGGAAUAUCCAAUGACAAGAGGACAUUGACAACCGUCAUGGGUUGCUGGACUUUCUGGUCCAAACAUGGGUGGGACAUCUAAUGAGGUACAAAGCAUGAAACAACAACUUGAAGAACAUGAAAAAAAAGCUGAAGUGUUUAGGAAAGAAGCUGAAGAGCUUAGGAAAGAAGCUGAAGAGCGUGCAACACAAAUGACUCGAUUACAAGAACAAGAAUGACAACCCCGUUUAGAAGUUAAAGAAAUGAGCGGACAAUUGGCUAAGUUAACUGUUUGUACACCAAAUCGCAUUAGGGUUAAAAAAGGGGUUUUUAGGGGAUUCGAACUAUUUGUUGGCGAUUCCCUUAUGGUAGAGAGUAAGCCUCUUUACGCCAAUUGAAUAGGGUUUGCGAUGUAGCCGAUUAAGAUCGUGUUGUUGUGUUAUUUUUUGAGUUUAUGUGUGAAUGAAAAUAAGCAGAUGAGUCCCCCUCUUGCGAA